Long non-coding RNA from Chloebia gouldiae (Gouldian finch), 1083 nucleotides. The record is from Ensembl. NCBI's taxonomy places the organism in Eukaryota, Metazoa, Chordata, Aves, Passeriformes, Passeridae.
AUGAACUGCAAUCAGAUGUCUGUACUUACAGAUAUCAAAGUUGAUUUUAUAGAGAAAGAACUGUUCCGCACCUUCUGGAAUUGUGAUGUUGACUUGGAGUAUAUUUAUGCAAAUUCCCACAUAAACAUCCUCAAAUUUCAGAGGUCUGACGUGGCCCAUCAGCUCGUACGUCCUCAGAGCCAGUUUUCCAUCCAGGAUGUACCCCAGGCCGCUGCAGUAGGGAGGAUACAGCUUGAAGGGAUACUCCUGGUAGGAGAUGUACCUUUUCCUGUCGAAGCCUCUGUAGGCGAAGUUAUCGAUGAGGGGAUAGCCGGUGAAAACGUUCUCCGAGGAAUUCAGCCGCAGCAGGAACUUCACCAGGUUGGGAGUGUUGAUGAAGACAUCGGCGUCGGUCUUCAUGAAGAACCUGGCGUUGGAGCAGAACUCGGAGAGCCACUGGAACGCCAUGAUGGUCUUCAGGGUGAGGUUGUCGUAGGUGUCCACGAAAUCCUGGCGGAUGAUGUCCCCGUAGAGGAUGCUCUCGUCCUCCACCGCCAGCGCCGCCGCCCUGUCCUCCGUCCGCGCGUCCUGCCCCAGCAGGAACAGGGUCAGGAUGUGCUGGCCCCACCAGGAAUCCCGGGAGCCCCACGUGAUCCUGAUGGCCUGCCUGGCCUUCACGUCCCCGGGGCUGGAAGCCACCAGGAUGACCAGGAAGGGGCGGAGGUCGGCGCAGCGCGGGCGCUCGCGCAGCGUGAACGGGCGCGGCCGCCGGUACGCGGGCUCGUGCUCGUAGAAGUACAGAGGGUUCACGUCCUCCAGGCCAGCCCUGGAGGAGAAGGUUAUGUACCACAUGGUUAUCAGGGAAAACACCAGCAGCCACAGGAAAAUCCAUUUCAGGGGUCUCCUGUACAAGGAGCCGACCAGGACCUGGAUCAUGGUCGGGAUCUGCUGGCGCCCCUCACAAUCUGUCCCACGAGUCCUGGAGCAUCUUCCUUGCUGAAAAGGAAAGGGGAAAGCGGCAUUCAGAGUGCUGUUAGUCAAAUAUUACCUUUUCCUUGUGUGAAAAACGCCAAUCACUUGGGUUUUAAAAUUUUAACAGUUUAA